GAAGGGUCAUAGCUCAAUGGUAGAGCAUCUGCUUCACAUGCAGAAGGUCACAGGUUCAAUUCCUGUUAUCUUCA
Non-coding RNA from Podarcis raffonei (Aeolian wall lizard), 74 nucleotides. The record is from the annotation of a RefSeq genome assembly. NCBI's taxonomy places the organism in Eukaryota, Metazoa, Chordata, Lepidosauria, Squamata, Lacertidae.